UUUUUUUUAAUAGACCAUUUUAUUAAAAUUUUUGCUUCAAAUGAGGUGAAAGUUUUAUA
This 59-nucleotide small RNA is filed under the name Plasmodium falciparum 3D7. Its description in RNAcentral is "Pfa-npcR304". Lineage: Eukaryota; Apicomplexa; Aconoidasida; Haemosporida; Plasmodiidae. The record is from RNAcentral.